GAUGAACGCUGGCGGCGUGCCUAAUACAUGCAAGUCGAGCGAACGGACGCGGCUCUUGCUUCUCUCAUGUUAUCGGCGCACGGGAGUAAAACGUGUGUAACCCCCCCUUAACUUUGGGGUAACUUUUGGGAACUCGGGCUAAAACCCGGUAUAAGCUUUUGCACCGCGGGGUUGAAAGGAAAAAGUCGGCGUUUCGGUAUGUAAUCGCGGUGUAGCAGCUUGUUUGUAUGGUAGCGGAUUACCAAGGCUACGAUGGAAAGCCGACCUGAGAGGGGGAUCGGCCACACUGGAACUGAGACACGGUCCAGACUCCUACGGUAGGCAGCAGUAGGGAACCGUCCGCAAUGGGCGGAAGCCUGACGGAGCAACGCGGCGUGAGUGAUGAAGGUCUUCGGAGCGUAAAACUCUGUUAUGAGGGAAGAACAUAUGUGUAAGGAACUGUGCACAGCUUGACGGUACCUAAUCAGAAAGCCACGGCUAACUACGUG
This 488-nucleotide ribosomal RNA is filed under the name uncultured bacterium. Its description in RNAcentral is "partial 16S ribosomal RNA". It matches the Rfam family "Bacterial small subunit ribosomal RNA", at positions 28 to 507 of the family's 1533-position model. The record is from RNAcentral.